This 392-nucleotide ribosomal RNA is filed under the name uncultured bacterium. RNAcentral describes it as "bacterial SSU rRNA". It matches the Rfam family "Bacterial small subunit ribosomal RNA", at positions 92 to 507 of the family's 1533-position model. The record is from RNAcentral.
UCAGUGGCGGACGGGUGAGUAACGCGUAGGAAUCUAUCCUUGAAUGGGGGACAACCGUGGGAAACUACGGCUAAUACCGCAUGAUGCCUGAGGGCCAAAGACGAAAGUCGUUUGAGGAGGAGCCUGCGUCUGAUUAGGUAGUUGGUGGGGUAAAGGCCUACCCAAGCCUACGAUCAGUAGCUGGUCUGAGAGGAUGAUCAGCCACACUGGGACUGAGACACGGCCCAGACUCCGUACGGGAGGCAGCAGGUGGGGAAUUAUUGGAACAAGUGGGCGCAAGCCUGAUCCAGCAAUGCCGCGGUGGGUGAAGAAGGUCUCGGAUUAGUAAACGUCCUUUCGGACGGGGACGAUGAUGACCGGUACCCGUAGAAGAAGCCCCGGCUAACUUCGUG